ACAGUCACACAUUAGAUACCCGUGUAGUCCUGGCCGUAAACGAUGUGGACUUGGUGUUGGAAUGGCUCCGAGCUGCUCCAGUGCCGAAGGGAAGCUGUUAAGUCCACCGCCUGGGAAGUACGGUCGCAAGACUGAAACUUAAAGGAAUUGGCGGGGAGCACCACAACGGGUGGAGCCUGCGGUUUAAUUGGACUCAACGCCGGAAAUCUCACCGGAUAGGACAGACAUAUGAUAGUCGGGCUGAAGACUCUACUUGAUGAUCUG
This 264-nucleotide ribosomal RNA is filed under the name uncultured archaeon. RNAcentral's name for it is "partial 16S ribosomal RNA". It matches the Rfam family "Archaeal small subunit ribosomal RNA", at positions 719 to 982 of the family's 1478-position model. The record is from RNAcentral.